GGAUAACUACCGAAUGUGGAAAGCUGCAAGUCUCUCCUGGUGAAAUUGUUGUAUUACCUCAAGGGUUCCGUUUUGCUGUAGAUUUGCCAGAUGGCCCGUCACGUGGUUAUGUUGCUGAGAUUUUUGGUGCCCAUUUUCAGCUUCCUGAUCUUGGGCCAAUAGGUGCUAAUGGCCUUGCUGCUUCAAGGGAUUUUCUUGUUCCCAAGGCCUGGUUUGAGGAGGGUUCUUGUCCUGGAUACACUAUCAUACAAAAGUUUGGUGGAGAACUAUUUACUGCAAAACAGGAUUUUUCUCCCUUCAAUGUAGUUGCCUGGCAUGGUAAUUAUGUUCCAUAUAAAUAUGAUCUCAAAAAGUUUUGCCCCUAUAAUACUGUUUUGAUUGAUCAUAGUGAUCCAUCAAUAAACACAGUUCUGACAGCACCAACUGAUAAGCCUGGAGUGGCAUUGCUUGAUUUUGUCAUUUUUCCUCCCCGGUGGUUGGUUGCCGAGCAUACUUUCCGACCUCCAUAUUACCAUCGCAAUUGUAUGAGUGAAUUUAUGGGCCUGAUUUAUGGUGCAUACGAGGCAAAAGCUGAUGGUUUCCUCCCAGGUGGUGCAAGUCUUCAUAGCUGCAUGACUCCACAUGGUCCUGAUACGAAGACAUAUGAGACUACCAUUGGACGCGGGAAUGAUGCAGUCCCAUAUAAAAUCACCAAUACAAUGGCUUUCAUGUUUGAAUCAUGUUUAAUCCCCAGAAUCUGCCUGUGGGCAGUUGAGUCCCCAUUUGUGGAUCGUGAUUAUUACCAGUGUUGGAUUGGACUCAAAUCCCAUUUUUCACAUGGAGCAGAUCCUAAGAGCAAUGGUAUAUAAAAUGGACAUCAGGGAAAUUGAAAGUAACGUGGCUCAAUUUGGUCAUCAAACAUAAAUCUUGGGCGUGAGCUCUGCUGCUCAAUUGUCCAGCAUGUAUGCACAUAAAGCAAUAAUAAGAAAGGAAUAGAAAUAUAUAUUCAAGUUGGCAAACAUUGAAAUAGUAAGCUUCUGUAUUUGUAAUUAGUCGACUGAGCCAUGAAUAUUG
This 1053-nucleotide unclassified non-coding RNA is filed under the name Hevea brasiliensis (rubber tree). The record is from RNAcentral. Lineage: Eukaryota; Viridiplantae; Streptophyta; Magnoliopsida; Malpighiales; Euphorbiaceae.